Small nucleolar RNA from Suncus etruscus (white-toothed pygmy shrew), 211 nucleotides. RefSeq annotates it as small nucleolar RNA U3. Lineage: Eukaryota; Metazoa; Chordata; Mammalia; Eulipotyphla; Soricidae. The record is from RefSeq and is a predicted model, not a curated record. The transcript has a single exon.
AAGACUAUACUUUUAGGGAUCAUUUCUAUAGUAUGUGACUAGAGAAGUUUCUCUGAUCGUGUAGAACACCCGAAGCCACGAGGAGGAGCCAGCUUACUCUCCUGAGCGUGAAGCCAGCUCUAGGUGUCGCUUCUGUGGCUGCCUCUUGCCUUUGAUGAUCGUUCUCCUUUUUCUCUGAGAAGAUAAAGGGAGAGGAUGCAGUCUGAGUGGU